This 541-nucleotide ribosomal RNA is filed under the name Mene maculata. RNAcentral's name for it is "partial 16S ribosomal RNA". It matches the Rfam family "Bacterial large subunit ribosomal RNA", at positions 600 to 1347 of the family's 2925-position model. Lineage: Eukaryota; Metazoa; Chordata; Actinopteri; Menidae. The record is from RNAcentral.
CGUACCUUUUGCAUCAUGAUUUAGCCAGCACCCUCAAGCAAAGAGCACUUUAGUUUGACCACCCGAAAUUAGGUGAGCUACUCCAAGACAGCCUAUCCAUAAGGGCAAACCCGUCUCUGUGGCAAAAGAGUGGGACGAGCUUCGAGUAGAGGUGACAGACCUACCGAACCUAAUUAUAGCUGGUUGCCUGGGAACUGGAUAGAAGUUCAGCCCUACGGCUUCUCCUUCCCAACCCGUUCCAACACACCCCUGGCACUUUAGAGAAACCGUACGAGUUAGCCAAAGGAGGUACAGCCCCUUUGAACCAAGAAACAACUUUACCAGGAGGGUAUCAAUCAUAUUAUUUAAGGCAAAAUGCCAAGGUGGGCCUAAAAGCAGCCAUCCUUAUAGAAAGCGUUACAGCUCAAGCAUUUCCCACGCCCAUUAUACCGAUAACCCAAUUCCAACCCCCUAACCUUACCAGGCCAUCCUAUGCACACAUAGGAGUGACCAUGCUAAUAUGAGUAAUAAGAGGACACGCCCCUCUCCCUGCACACGUGUA